Molecule: long non-coding RNA, 262 nt
Organism: Falco peregrinus (peregrine falcon)
Lineage: Eukaryota; Metazoa; Chordata; Aves; Falconiformes; Falconidae
Exons: 3
Source: RefSeq, a predicted model, not a curated record
CUGCAUUUAAGCAGUCCUGACUGCCGCAAAGAACAGGGAAGAGCAGAUAGUGUUGGCAGCAUGUUGACCAUUUCUAUUCUGCCUUGAAUCUGUAGAUCUCCUCCUCCCAAAUGGUUGGCCUCCUGAGAUUUUGAAAAUUAAGUCCUUUGUGCCAUCAUUGGUCAAUCAACCAUAUGGAGCUAAAGUACUAAAGAGGCAACAAGACUUUAAAAAUGGAGGAACGGUGCUGUUCGUAGUUUGGAGGUGACUAACUUCAGAUUCU